Molecule: ribosomal RNA, 253 nt
Filed under: uncultured bacterium
Lineage: Bacteria
Description: partial 16S ribosomal RNA
Rfam family: Bacterial small subunit ribosomal RNA
Source: RNAcentral
UACGUAGGGUGCGAGCGUUAAUCGGAAUUACUGGGCGUAAAGCGUGCGCAGGCGGUUCGUUGUGUCGGUGGUGAAAGCCCCGGGCUUAACCUGGGAAUGGCCAUGGAAACUGGCGAACUGGAGUGUGGCAGAGGGGGGUGGAAUUCCGCGUGUAGCAGUGAAAUGCGUAGAGAUGCGGAGGAACACCGAUGGCGAAGGCAGCCCCCUGGGUUAGCACUGACGCUCAGGCACGAAAGCGUGGGGAGCAAACAGG